UUUGUCUCGCGUAACAUUUUACUUAAGGUAGUGAAAAAUUGUUGUGAUUCUAGAUGUGAUGAAAACUUCAUCACAAUAAUGCACACGACAAUUUUAAGAAUGCAUCCCUGGAAUUUCUUAAUUUGAGUAGUGGCUUUUCUUGCACUCUAUGUUACACUCACCCAUCACAUUUAUUCAACCUUUAAGGAAAAUUUGAAUAUUUGAGCAUAAUCUUUUUGUCUUUACUCUUGAGCCUAGUUUUUG
Molecule: long non-coding RNA, 243 nt
Filed under: Carica papaya (papaya)
Lineage: Eukaryota; Viridiplantae; Streptophyta; Magnoliopsida; Brassicales; Caricaceae
Description: long non-coding RNA (CPAP_LNC005766)
Source: RNAcentral